AGCAUUCACUACUGUAAGUCGCUCUGGAUAAAAGCGUCUGCUAAAUGACUGAAA
Molecule: non-coding RNA, 54 nt
Organism: Salmo salar (Atlantic salmon)
Lineage: Eukaryota; Metazoa; Chordata; Actinopteri; Salmoniformes; Salmonidae
Source: Rfam